Molecule: ribosomal RNA, 446 nt
Filed under: uncultured bacterium
Lineage: Bacteria
Description: partial 16S ribosomal RNA
Rfam family: Bacterial small subunit ribosomal RNA
Source: RNAcentral
CCUACGGGUGGCAGCAGUCGAGAAUCAUUCACAAUGGGGGAAACCCUGAUGGUGCGACGCCGCGUGGGGGAAUGAAGGUCUUCGGAUUGUAAACCCCUGUCAUGUGGGAGCAAAUUAAAAAGAUAGUACCACAAGAGGAAGAGACGGCUAACUCUGUGCCAGCAGCCGCGGUAAUACAGAGGUCUCAAGCGUUGUUCGGAAUCACUGGGCGUAAAGCGUGCGUAGGCUGUUUCGUAAGUCGUGUGUGAAAGGCGCGGGCUCAACCCGCGGACGGCACAUGAUACUGCGAGACUAGAGUAAGGGAGAGGGAACCGGAAUGCUCGGUGUAGCAGUGAAAUGCGUAGAUAUCGAGCGGAACACUCGUGGCGAAGGCGGGUUCCUGGACAUUAACUGACGCUGAGGCACGAAGGCCAGGGGAGCGAAAGGGAUUAGAUACCCUAGUAGUC